RNAcentral lists this transfer RNA (71 nucleotides) under Gemmatimonadaceae bacterium. RNAcentral's name for it is "tRNA-Gln". It matches the Rfam family "tRNA". From Rfam's summary of the family: Transfer RNA (tRNA) molecules are approximately 80 nucleotides in length. Their secondary structure includes four short double-helical elements and three loops (D, anti-codon, and T loops). The record is from RNAcentral. Lineage: Bacteria; Pseudomonadati; Gemmatimonadota; Gemmatimonadia; Gemmatimonadales; Gemmatimonadaceae.
UGCCCGGUCGUUCAAUGGCAGGACGCCACCCUUUGGAGGUGGUCAUCAUGGUUCGAAUCCAUGCCGGGCAA